UACGGAGGAUGCGAGCGUUAUCCGGAUUUAUUGGGUUUAAAGGGUGCGCAGGCGGGAGAUUAAGUCGGCGGUGAAAUUUUGCAGCUCAACUGUAAAAGUGCCAUUGAUACUGGUUUCCUUGAGUGUGGAUGAAGUAGGCGGAAUUUGUGGUGUAGCGGUGAAAUGCAUAGAUAUCACGAGGAACUCCGAUUGCGCAGGCAGCUUACUAAACCAUAACUGACGCUUAGGCACGAAGGCGUGGGGAUCAAACAGGAUUAGAUA
This 261-nucleotide ribosomal RNA is filed under the name uncultured prokaryote. Its description in RNAcentral is "partial 16S ribosomal RNA". It matches the Rfam family "Bacterial small subunit ribosomal RNA", at positions 524 to 784 of the family's 1533-position model. The record is from RNAcentral.